RNAcentral lists this ribosomal RNA (378 nucleotides) under uncultured bacterium. RNAcentral's name for it is "bacterial SSU rRNA". It matches the Rfam family "Bacterial small subunit ribosomal RNA", at positions 790 to 1167 of the family's 1533-position model. The record is from RNAcentral.
GUAGUCCACGCCGUAAACGAUGGAUGCUUGUCGUUGGAGGAAUAAACCCUUUCAGUGACGAAGCUAACGCGUUAAGCAUCCCGCCUGGGGAGUACGGUCGCAAGAUUAAAACUCAAAGAAAUUGACGGGGACCCGCACAAGCAGUGGAGCAUGUGGUUUAAUUCGACGCAACGCGAAGAACCUUAUCCUGGUCUUGACAUCCUUUGACCGCUGGUGAAAGCCAGUUUCCCCGCAAGGGGCAAAGAGACAGGUGCUGCAUGGCUGUCGUCAGCUCGUGUCGUGAGAUGUUGGGUUAAGUCCCGUAACGAGCGCAACCCACGCCUCUUGUUGCCAUCAUUAAGUUGGGCACUCUAGAGGGACUGCCAGUGUGAAACUGGA